ACAGGACCGCACGCGAAACGUGAAGACGCGCACAGUAGUCAGUUGAUUGACGUAGCUAGCUAAUGGCGGCGAAACACAAAUAAAUAAAUACACACAAAGUCAACAGCCAAAACAACUGGCAGGUCACAGUUUGUCAGUUAAACCGGAGCUUGUCCACAAUAACGAUACACUAACGGCCAGGCAGCAUAGGAGACUGGAGGGCUGUUUGAGAGGAGAGGGAUAGUCAUACUUAUGCAGCUUACGGAAGACCUGUAACGUUAACUGCAUCAUUCCACAGCCUUGCAAGGGCUGAGUCGAGGCUCCAGCAGCGUGGUUGAUCCUCCCUAGGUGGGUUGAUGGCCUCGUCCUUCAGCAGCUCGGACGCCGAGCUCCGCAGGGCAGGGUUCUUCUCCAGGGCUCUUUCCAGGAAGGAGCGCAUGGCCGGGCUGCAGUCAUCAGCUAUGUCCUCAAGAGGGGGGGCUUGCUUAUGGAUCUGUUGGGAGAGAGAUAAGGCAAAAAUUGGCAUAAGAAAACUGCAGCAUGAGAGAAAAAAAUAUUAAAUUACAAAGACAGUCAAUGCUUCCAAAUAACUAACAAACAAAACAACACAUGUAUAUAUUAAGGCUGAACGAUAAAUUGUUUUCAAAUCGAAAUCACGAUUUAAAAGAAUGCGAUUAGCUAAUCGUGAAGACCGCGAUAAAUCGAAUGUGCAAUAUUUAGUCAAA
Long non-coding RNA from Perca flavescens (yellow perch), 704 nucleotides. RefSeq lists it as uncharacterized. Lineage: Eukaryota; Metazoa; Chordata; Actinopteri; Perciformes; Percidae. The record is from RefSeq and is a predicted model, not a curated record. The transcript is spliced from 3 exons.